Molecule: ribosomal RNA, 532 nt
Filed under: uncultured Entrophospora
Lineage: Eukaryota; Fungi; Glomeromycota; Glomeromycetes; Entrophosporales; Entrophosporaceae
Description: SSU rRNA
Rfam family: Eukaryotic small subunit ribosomal RNA
Source: RNAcentral
AGCAGCCGCGGUAAUUCCAGCUCCAAUAGCGUAUAUUAAAGUUGUUGCAGUUAAAAAGCUCGUAGUUGAAUUUCGGGAUUGGCGCAUCGGUCGUGCCUUACGGGGUAUGAACUGGUGCAGUCAAUUUCUCACCUUCUGGAGAACCGCGAUGUCCUUAAUUGGGUGCCGCGGGGAACCAGGACCUUUACUUUGAAAAAAUUAGAGUGUUUAAAGCAGGCAUUUUUGCUUGAAUACAUUAGCAUGGAAUAAUAAAAUAGGACGGCAUGGCUCUAUUUUGUUGGUUUCUAGGACCACCGUAAUGAUUAAUAGGGAUAGUUGGGGGCAUUAGUAUUCAAUUGUCAGAGGUGAAAUUCUUGGAUUUAUUGAAGACUAACUACUGCGAAAGCAUUUGCCAAGGAUGUUUUCAUUAAUCAAGAACGAAAGUUAGGGGAUCGAAGACGACCAGAUACCGUCGUAGUCUUAACCCAUAAACUAUGCCGACUAGGAAUCAGACGAUGUUAAUUUUUUAAUGACUCGUUUGGCACCUUUACGG